Molecule: non-coding RNA, 110 nt
Organism: Pyronema omphalodes
Lineage: Eukaryota; Fungi; Ascomycota; Pezizomycetes; Pezizales; Pyronemataceae
Source: the annotation of a GenBank genome assembly
GUCAAGAUGUCCGAGUGGUUAAGGAGUUUGACUCGAAUUUUCUCAUCCCCUGAUGAAUCAAACGAUAUCAAAUGGUUUCGGCCGCGCAGGUUCGAGUCCUGUUCUUGACG